AGUGAACGCUGGCGGUAGGCCCAACACAUGCAAGUCGAACGGCAGCACAGUAAGAGCUUGCUCUUACGGGUGGCGAGUGGCGGACGGGUGAGGAAUACAUCGGAAUCUACUUUUUCGUGGGGGAUAACGUAGGGAAACUUACGCUAAUACCGCAUACGACCUACGGGUGAAAGCAGGGGAUCUUCGGACCUUGCGCGAUUGAAUGAGCCGAUGUCGGAUUAGCUAGUUGGCGGGGUAAAGGCCCACCAAGGCGACGAUCCGUAGCUGGUCUGAGAGGAUGAUCAGCCACACUGGAACUGAGACACGGUCCAGACUCCUACGGGAGGCAGCAGUGGGGAAUAUUGGACAAUGGGCGCAAGCCUGAUCCAGCCAUACCGCGUGGGUGAAGAAGGCCUUCGGGUUUUAAAGCCCUUUUGUUGGGAAAGAAAAGCAGCAGGUUAAUACCCCGCUGUUCUGACGGUACCCAAAGAAUAAGCACCGGCUAACUUCGUG
RNAcentral lists this ribosomal RNA (492 nucleotides) under uncultured bacterium. RNAcentral's name for it is "partial 16S ribosomal RNA". It matches the Rfam family "Bacterial small subunit ribosomal RNA", at positions 29 to 507 of the family's 1533-position model. The record is from RNAcentral.